Molecule: ribosomal RNA, 658 nt
Filed under: uncultured Lachnospiraceae bacterium
Lineage: Bacteria; Bacillati; Bacillota; Clostridia; Lachnospirales; Lachnospiraceae
Description: bacterial SSU rRNA
Rfam family: Bacterial small subunit ribosomal RNA
Source: RNAcentral
CGAACGGGAAAUAUUUCAUUGAGACUUCGGUGGAUUUGAUCUAUUUCUAGUGGCGGACGGGUGAGUAACGCGUGGGUAACCUGCCUUAUACAGGGGGAUAACAGUCAGAAAUGGCUGCUAAUACCGCAUAAGCGCACAGAGCUGCAUGGCUCAGUGUGAAAAACUCCGGUGGUAUAAGAUGGACCCGCGUUGGAUUAGCUUGUUGAUGGGGUAACGGCCCACCAAGGCGACGAUCCAUAGCCGGCCUGAGAGGGUGAACGGCCACAUUGGGACUGAGACACGGCCCAGACUCCUACGGGAGGCAGCAGUGGGGAAUAUUGCACAAUGGGGGAAACCCUGAUGCAGCGACGCCGCGUGAAGGAAGAAGUAUCUCGGUAUGUAAACUUCUAUCAGCAGGGAAGAUAGUGACGGUACCUGACUAAGAAGCCCCGGCUAACUACGUGCCAGCAGCCGCGGUAAUACGUAGGGGGCAAGCGUUAUCCGGAUUUACUGGGUGUAAAGGGAGCGUAGACGGUGUGGCAAGUCUGAUGUGAAAGGCAUGGGCUCAACCUGUGGACUGCAUUGGAAACUGUCAUACUUGAGUGCCGGAGGGGUAAGCGGAGUUCCUAGUGUAGCGGUGAAAUGCGUAGAUAUUAGGAGGACACCAGUGGCGAAGGCG